RNAcentral lists this long non-coding RNA (242 nucleotides) under Manihot esculenta (cassava). Its description in RNAcentral is "long non-coding RNA (MESC_LNC007074)". Lineage: Eukaryota; Viridiplantae; Streptophyta; Magnoliopsida; Malpighiales; Euphorbiaceae. The record is from RNAcentral.
CUGAACAUUUACAUAAAUAAAGUCCCUCUGUGGGAUCUCAACAAGCCUCGAAGGGCUAUACAACAUAUGGAGAGUUGGUUUACUUAAACAUCAUAACAUAAAGAUCAUGUAAAGAUACAAAUGGGAUUAUCACAUACUAUGGUCAAGCACAGCUCUAUCCUCAAUAACAUUAAUACAUAAAAAGACUAAUCAACUAUACAUCAUUUUACAAAUUUGUCAUGUCCACAAUCUAUCUAUUACAA